AGGAAAUCAGAAACAGGUUUGAAGAGGAGAAAAUUGAAGCUCAGAGAAAUGAAGUGACUUGGCUCAGAUCCCACAACCAGUUGAGCUAGCUAUCCCCCAACUCCUGAUGGCCCUGCCCAGACACUGUCUGAAGAGACCAACCUUCCAGGUCCAGCUUCAAGGUGAAGAUUCAGUGACUGUUUGCUUAGGAUUAAUAAUAAUAAAAUAAUAAUAAUAAUAAUAAAAUCUGCCAUCAGUUGAA
Neomonachus schauinslandi (Hawaiian monk seal) is the source of this 241-nucleotide long non-coding RNA. RefSeq lists it as uncharacterized. NCBI's taxonomy places the organism in Eukaryota, Metazoa, Chordata, Mammalia, Carnivora, Phocidae. The record is from RefSeq and is a predicted model, not a curated record. The transcript is spliced from 3 exons.